Molecule: long non-coding RNA, 206 nt
Organism: Cyprinus carpio (common carp)
Lineage: Eukaryota; Metazoa; Chordata; Actinopteri; Cypriniformes; Cyprinidae
Exons: 2
Source: RefSeq, a predicted model, not a curated record
CUACUCUCUCUUCACAAUGUGGUGUUCACGUAUCGUCGGAAGAACGAGCUCUGAACUGUGAGGGUGUGUCGAGCUAGAGAGCAUGGUAGCUGAUGGCAGAAACUCUUUGAUUAGCGCCCUUGGAGAAGCGGAAUGAGUUUUCACGGUGUUCAUGGUGCAUGGUGCUCGUUGAGAGGAAGAAAUAAAUUGACACCCGUUUGAAACUC